RNAcentral lists this ribosomal RNA (497 nucleotides) under Monomachus sp. M223. RNAcentral's name for it is "eukaryotic LSU rRNA". Lineage: Eukaryota; Metazoa; Arthropoda; Insecta; Hymenoptera; Monomachidae. The record is from RNAcentral.
AAACCGUUCAGGGGUAAACCUGAGAAACCCAAAAGAUCGAAUGGGGAGAUUCAUCGUCAGCGGCGCUCGCUUCCGUGCGGCUCGCGAUGCGCUCGGGGGUUCUCUCCCACGCGCACGCGUCCGCUGUGCAUGUCGGGCGUCGUCGGCGUGCACUUCUCCCCUAGUAGGACGUCGCGACCCGUUGGGUGUCGGCCUACGGCCCGGGUGGGUGACUGUCUCGUGCGUCGUUUAACGACGCGCGCACGACGACAGACCCCCGGUUGGCCCGGCCGGCUGCCCGGCGGUACUCGCACGGUAUCGGGCCGCACGAACUGCGUCCGUCCCGUCGCAAGCGCGGCCAGUGUAUAACCCGGAGUGCGCGGACCCAGUGCCGUUCCCGGGCCUGGCCAGCUGUUGGCCAAUAUGACGGUGACCUCGGACUGGCUCUGAAUCGCGGCCUUUGUUGAACGUCGAUACGAUACCGGUCGGCGACGCUACUGCUUUGGGUACUUUCAGGA